GUGUGUGAGAAGGCUCUACGGGUUGUAAAGCACUUUAUUCAGGGAGGAAGUUUAGUUGGUUAAUAGCUGAUUAAAUUGACGUUACCUGAAGAAUAAGCACCGGCUAACUCCGUGCCAGCAGCCGCGGUAAUACGGGGGGUGCAAGCGUUAAUCGGAAUUACUGGGCGUAAAGGGUUCGUAGGUGGUUUAUUAAGUCAGAUGUGAAAGCCCAGGGCUCAACCUUGGAACUGCAUUUGAUACUGGUAGACUAGAGUAUAGUAGAGGAGUGGGGAAUUUCUGGUGUAGCGGUGAAAUGCGUAGAGAUCAGAAGGAACACCAAUGGCGAAGGCAACACUCUGGACUAAUACUGACACUGAGGGACGAAAGCGUGGGGAUCAAACAGGAUUAGAUACCCUGGUAGUCCACGCUGUAAACGAUGAGUACUAGCUGUUGGGUUCGGUGUAAAGGAUCUAGUGGCGUAGCUAACGCGGUAAGUACUCC
Molecule: ribosomal RNA, 480 nt
Filed under: uncultured bacterium
Lineage: Bacteria
Description: bacterial SSU rRNA
Rfam family: Bacterial small subunit ribosomal RNA
Source: RNAcentral